UUAGUCACUAAGUUGUGUUUGACACUUUUUGCAACCCCAUGGACUGUAACCCAUCAGGCUCCUCUGUCCAUGGGAUUUCCCAGACAAGAAUACUGGAAUGGGUUUCUAUUUUCCUUCUCCAGGGGAUCUUUCUGACCCACAUUGAUACCCACAUCUUCUGCAUUGGCAGCUGGGUUCUUUUCCACUGAGCCACCAGAGAAGCCCCAUAUGUCAAGCAACAAAUCAACAGAAAUUCAUGUGAAAAUCAUUGACCACCAUAUGCUGCUCCAGCUUCCUUCAGCUCCUAAUUCUAGGAGCUUGACAACUAAAGCAAACCACAGACAGCCACAGGCACUCACUGCCAGCCCUGACAAAAAAAAUCACAAAAGUCGCCUCACAGGGAUUUUAUGGCUUUGGAUUGAACCACGAAGUAUUGGAUAUAUUUCAUACAAAAGCACUAUGGAAUGCAACUCAGUACAAGCAAGUCAUUCACAGUUUCAGAUGAUGGUGAUGAUGAUGAUGAUGAUUUUGGUCCUAGUUCCAUUAAAGGCCAAGACAUCUCCAGAUGACUACAGAAAUACUACCUUAAUAAUAAGAAAAAACUUGUUUCAUUAAGAGACUUCUUGUAGAUUUCCCACUGAGUUUUGUUUAUGUAUCCUAUGCUGCUGCUGCUGAUGAUGCUAAGUCGCUUCAGUCGUGUCCGACUCUGUGCAACCCCAUAGAUGGCAGCCCACCAGGCUCCCCCAUCCCUGGGAUUCUCCACGCAAGAAUACUGGAGUGGGUUGCCAUUUCCUUCUCCAAUGCAUGGAAGUGAAAAGUGAAAGUGAAGUCUCUCAGUCGUGUCCGACUCUUCGCGACCCCAUGGACUGCAGCCCACCAGGCUUCUCCGUCCAUGGGAUUUUCCAGGCAAGAGUACUGGAGGGGGUUUCCACUGCCUUCUCCCAGGUCCUAUCAAAUUCAGAGUCUAUUUUCUCUUGGCAAAAGCAAAAAAAUAAAUCAUAAUAGAGACAAAGAUAAGGAAUAUGU
Molecule: long non-coding RNA, 1005 nt
Filed under: Bos indicus x Bos taurus (hybrid cattle)
Lineage: Eukaryota; Metazoa; Chordata; Mammalia; Artiodactyla; Bovidae
Description: lncRNA (ENSBIXG00000025049.1)
Source: RNAcentral